GCCCCUGUAGUUCAAUGGAUAGAAUAGAGACCUUCUAAGUCUAAGGUUACAGGUUCGAGUCCUGUCAGGGGCA
RNAcentral lists this transfer RNA (73 nucleotides) under Anaerolineae bacterium. RNAcentral describes it as "tRNA-Arg". It matches the Rfam family "tRNA". From Rfam's summary of the family: Transfer RNA (tRNA) molecules are approximately 80 nucleotides in length. Their secondary structure includes four short double-helical elements and three loops (D, anti-codon, and T loops). Further hydrogen bonds mediate the characteristic L-shaped molecular structure. tRNAs have two regions of fundamental functional importance: the anti-codon, which is responsible for specific mRNA codon recognition, and the 3' end, to which the tRNAs corresponding amino acid is attached (by aminoacyl-tRNA synthetases). tRNAs cope with the degeneracy of the genetic code in two manners: having more than one tRNA (with a specific anti-codon) for a particular amino acid; and 'wobble' base-pairing, i.e. permitting non-standard base-pairing at the 3rd anti-codon position. The record is from RNAcentral. Lineage: Bacteria; Bacillati; Chloroflexota; Anaerolineae.